GACCCCUUAGCUCAGUGGUAGAGUGUGUGAUUCCAGUUCAUGCUGAACGAGCGAUUCUCGAUAAGGAAAUCGUUCGUUCGGCGUGGUACAUCCACAAGGCCAUCCGUUCAAGUCGGGUAGGGGUCA
Molecule: non-coding RNA, 126 nt
Organism: Hymenopellis radicata
Lineage: Eukaryota; Fungi; Basidiomycota; Agaricomycetes; Agaricales; Physalacriaceae
Source: the annotation of a GenBank genome assembly